GUCUCUUUGGCGCCAUUGGGAGCGCAGCUGGCCCUCUUAGUCAGUGGGUUGCAGCUUCGACUCCUGCAAGAGGCACCA
This 78-nucleotide transfer RNA is filed under the name Deinococcus sp. QL22. RNAcentral describes it as "tRNA-OTHER". The record is from RNAcentral. Lineage: Bacteria; Thermotogati; Deinococcota; Deinococci; Deinococcales; Deinococcaceae.